GUUACAGUUUGGUGUUUGAGGUUUAAAUGUUCCUUAGGUGACUUUCGGAAUGAAGCGCUAUCAAAUUUCCUCUUAAAGAUCAAAGCACCUGUCUAGUCACAAGUAUUACGCAAUGCUUCCCCUUUGACUUCAUUUUGAACACAGUUAAUCAGCAAAGUAAUUUUUUUCAAAGAAAACUGAGGUGUAAAUUUCCUCCUUGACCACAUCUGAAAGGCACAGACACGUGGGUAAAUGGAGUAUAAAUGUCCUGCUCUCUACAAACGUUUUAAAGCAAACUGAAAGGUCCAAUUCUAGACGAGAAACCAUCCAUUAAACGGUUCCUUCGGUUAUCAACGAGUCAAAAGUAUGGGGAUCCUUGCACUUCUGCUGGUUUCUGCCCUGCUUCCCCUGUGCAACUUGGCUCCUUGUGCUCCACAGCAAAAUCUGACGAACCUCAAGGACAUCAUUUUAGCGAAUGGGACAUACAAUGACACUACGGUAGGAGCUUGUUUGCAUUUUAUAGGUAAAUGAUGAAAGGAUUUUGUCGAAACCUUUGACAUCUCAUUUUUUUGUUUUGUGUGACAGAACCGCUUUGUGGAAGAUGUGCAGGACUUGGUUGAGGCUGGAUGUAAGGAUGACUUCUUCUGCACAGUUCUGGGCAUUCUGAAAAAUGAGGAUAACAUCAAACAUAAAAAAAACGAGUUUGAGCAAAAAAUUUUGAGGAAUCUCGCAAUGUUCAUUAAAAUAUCAAAGAUGAAAUGUGAAGAGGAACCGAAGGCAAAGGAAAAUGCGGUCAAAACCCCCAUCACGGUUCUUCUGGGAUUCCUCAAGGAAUGCAGUAAGAGAAGAAUCUCAUUAUGUUAACCAAGAGCUUGAGACACUUGUUAGCUGCUGUCUUCUUCUCAAAUGUUCACAUUUGCAAAUCUUAAGUUGCUACCAAACAGAAGUUUGGAUAGUUUGUUAAAGUAUGAAAUAUUCAUAUCAUCAUUAUUUAUUAUUUUAUUUUAAUUUUCAAUGUACUGUUUUGCCUCUUCUGGUGUCACUAAAUCCAGCUAAAAAGUGUUUUCUGGGUCCUUUUUCAUUUGGAUCUCAUUGAUUUAUUUUGAUGUUUCCAAAUCAAUGUGUUUAAAACCUCAUUUGUUAUUGUUAAUUUUUAAAAUGUUAUUUAUUUAAUUUAUUGUUUUUUUUUACUUUUCUCUUUAUUUCUUUGUGGCUAUUGUUAACUGCUGCUACACAAAAUGGAAAAAAGUGAAGAAGGAAAUUGUUCUUGAGUUUUCCAGAGUUAAUAACUACCUUUGUGUUUGUAACUACUCUGUUAUUAACACACAAUGCCUACCUAUUUAUUUAAUUUAUUUAGAACAGAAGACAGUAUGUUUUAAUAUAUACACAUGUUUACGUGUCUGUAUAUAUUUAUUUAUGUGGAGUUUGACUCCUAAAUAAAUGCUGAUGAUUUGGGAAAAAAAUUGUUUUUUUUUGUUUGACUGUUAGGUCUCUAUUUAUGUUUUUUCACACCACUUUUGUAGCAUCUGAAGUGCUUAGUUUUCUCUUAAUUAUAUUUAAUACAAUGAAAAUAUGGUUUGAAGAUAAUCUAUUCUGCAGUAUUUGGUAAAACUGUGUUUAUUUGCAUUUAACCUUUUUUGUGCAAAUAUGAAUCUCAUUGAUAUGCCAAGCCUUACCUUAGCCUGAAAUAUGUAGAUUAUUAAUUUCUCAAUCUAAAUUUUGACAAUUUUAAUAUUUUUCUGAACCUGUACAUUUAAAUUGAAGGAAUGUCUUUAAGAAAAUCACAAAAUCCAUAUAAAAGCAUUAAUGUGACAUUUUUUGCAUGUUAUAAAAUCAAAGAAUAAAUCAAAAAGACCCUAACAUGAAUAAAAAUUAGGAAGACACAUUAUGAGCAAUUUAAAAAAAAUGCUUUUUUUACUCUGUGAGAAUGUGUCCUGUAAUACCACAUCUGUUGAUAAGUUU
Long non-coding RNA from Oryzias melastigma (Indian medaka), 1941 nucleotides. RefSeq lists it as uncharacterized. The record is from RefSeq and is a predicted model, not a curated record. NCBI's taxonomy places the organism in Eukaryota, Metazoa, Chordata, Actinopteri, Beloniformes, Adrianichthyidae. The transcript has 3 exons.